GAUUCUCUCUGAUUUUUUUGAAAGCACAAAGAGGCUUCAUAUUUAAUUUAUAGUAUUAUAUAAGCUGCUGCUGCUGCUGGGGUGUGUGUGUGUGUGUGUGUGUGUGUGUGUGUGUGUGUGUGUGUCUUCCAGCAUAAUCCUGACUGUGGUAGUUUGGAUUUUGCAUUAUGGGGGCAACCACCAUUCUAGCAUCUGAAUACUCAUUCUAGAGGGCUAAAUCCAUGAGAGCAAAAGUAUAGAAACAAUUUUGCAGUGCUGGUGGCAUUUCCCUUGCCUAUAAAACCAAUUUUAACUGCACAAAACCCUCAGCACAUUGCAUGUGGGAAAUGCAGUGGCUGCACAUUAAGCUGUUACGAAUAACUGCUGUUGGGAUGGAAUGAAAUGGAAACAAAUCUGCAUUUUAUUUGCACUCUCUCUGCAAUUCCAUGCCAUCCAGACUGCAGUUACGUUCUGUGCACAGCAACACCGCCAAAAAGGGCAACAACUCUGUGAGCACAUUGUCUUGUAAGGAGAGAGGAACCGUGCACACUACCCAAAACAACCAGUAAAAUAAAGAGGAGUCACUCAGCCAUGAAAUAUGACCUGUUCCACCUUGGGACGGAGUUUUACUGUUGUUACCCAAGCUGGAGUGCAAUGGCACAAUCUCGGCUCACCGCAACCUCCGCCUUCUGGGUUCAAGCAAUUCUCCUGCCUCAGCCUCCCGAGUAGCUGGGACUACAGGAUGAAAUAA
Molecule: long non-coding RNA, 730 nt
Filed under: Callithrix jacchus (white-tufted-ear marmoset)
Lineage: Eukaryota; Metazoa; Chordata; Mammalia; Primates; Cebidae
Description: lncRNA (ENSCJAG00000084379.1)
Source: RNAcentral